Long non-coding RNA from Hyposmocoma kahamanoa, 290 nucleotides. RefSeq lists it as uncharacterized. The transcript has 3 exons. The record is from RefSeq and is a predicted model, not a curated record. NCBI's taxonomy places the organism in Eukaryota, Metazoa, Arthropoda, Insecta, Lepidoptera, Cosmopterigidae.
ACUCGGAAGGUUUGCGGUACAAUUGGUGGACGAGUCCAGCGAGUGUCAGAAAGUUUUUUGUUGAAUUGGGGUCACACGAGGUAAUGAAAGCGCAAACGAGACAGUACUCUGUAAACCACAUCAGGCAUGAAUAUGAAGACAGCCCGCAUUUUGAAAUGGGAUACAUGCUAGGCGAAAUCGUUGAAAGAUAUAGGAAACUGGUGGACAUUGUUCGAGAAAAUUCACAGUACACCGAUAUGCUGCACAUGUAUCUCCACAGACUAAUGUUGUCACAGUCUAUAUUCUUGGAG